Molecule: ribosomal RNA, 371 nt
Filed under: uncultured bacterium
Lineage: Bacteria
Description: bacterial SSU rRNA
Rfam family: Bacterial small subunit ribosomal RNA
Source: RNAcentral
GUAGGGGGCAAGCGUUGUCCGGAUUUAUUGGGCGUAAAGAGCGUGUAGGCGGCCAUACAGGUCCGUUGUGAAAACUGGAGGCUUAACCUCCAGACGUCGAUGGAAACCGUAUGGCUAGAGUCCGGAAGAGGAGAGUGGAAUUCCUGGUGUAGCGGUGAAAUGCGCAGAUAUCAGGAAGAACACCCGUGGCGAAGGCGGCUCUCUGGGACGGUACUGACGCUGAGACGCGAAAGCGUGGGGAGCGAACAGGAUUAGAUACCCUGGUAGUCCACGCCGUAAACGAUGGGUGCUAGGUGUGGGGGGUGUCGACUCCCUCCGUGCCGCAGCUAACGCAUUAAGCACCCCGCCUGGGGAGUACGGCCGCAAGGCUA